This 274-nucleotide ribosomal RNA is filed under the name uncultured bacterium. RNAcentral describes it as "partial 16S ribosomal RNA". It matches the Rfam family "Bacterial small subunit ribosomal RNA", at positions 523 to 796 of the family's 1533-position model. The record is from RNAcentral.
AUACGGAGGGUGCAAGCGUUAAUCGGAAUUACUGGGCGUAAAGAGUACGUAGGUGGUUUGUUAAGUCAGAUGUGAAAGCCCCGGGCUCAACCUGGGAACUGCGUUUGAAACUGGCAAACUAGAGUAUGGUAGAGGGGGGUAGAAUUUUUAGUGUAGUGGUGAAAUGCGUAGAUAUUAGAAGGAAUACCAGUGGCGAAGGCGGCCCCCUGGACCAAUACUGACACUGAGGUACGAAAGCGUGGGUAGCGAACAGGAUUAGAUACCCUAGUAGUCC